AUGCUUGGGCGCAACAAUAUGUCGCCCGACAGACUAGAGGCCGUGCUGAUGCUGUUGAUGCUCAUGGUUUACAAUGCUUCAGGAGCAUUUGUUGGUAUCAACAUUGGCACUAACGUGUCAGACCUGCCAUCAGCAUCAGACAUAGUCUCCAUCCUUAAAGCCAAGAAGAUUCAACAUGUUCGCUUGGUUGAUUCAGACCAUGAGAUGCUAGUCGCCCUUGCGAAUACUGGAAUUGAAGUGAUGGUUGGUGUGCCAAAUAAUCAGCUGCUCCGCAUGGGGCAAUCUCGUCCGACAGCUGCUGAUUGGAUUAACAAGAAUGUUGCUGCCUACAUUCCAGCAACAAACAUCACGUAUAUUGCCGUGGGUGAUGAGAUUCUUACUACUGUCCCAAAUGCAGCUCUUGUUCUAGUACCUGCAUUGCAAUUCCUCCAAUCCGCACUGUUGGCUGCGAACCUCAAUACCCAGGUGAAACUAUCAAGUCCUCAUUCAAUGGAUAUGAUCUCUAAGGCAUUUCCUCCUUCUACUGCCACUUUCAACUCGACAUGGAGCUCAGUAAUGUUACAGUAUCUUGGAUUUCUGAAGAAGACAGGAUCUUCCUUCAUGCUUAAUGCUCAACCAUACUAUGGCUAUGUGAAAGGGCAAGGUGUAUUCCCUUUAGAGUAUGCCCUGUUUCGAUCACUCAAUCCCAACAGUCAGAUUGCAGAUCCGAACACCAAUUUGUUCUAUACCAAUAUGUUUGACGCUAUGGUUGAUGCCACAUACAACUCAAUAAAAGCAAUGAAUUUCACCGAUAUUCCUGUUAUGGUCACAGCUUCUGGUUGGCCAUGGCAUAGUGCACGCAAAGAACCGGCUGCAGAUGUUGAUAAUGCUCUGGCCUACAAUACAAAUCUCAUACGCCAUGUACUAAAUAACUCUGGUACCCCUAGCCAGCCAAAUAAUCAAGUAAGCACAUACCUGUUUGAGUUGUUCAGUGAGGAUCUUCGGUCAGGAUCUGUUUCGGGGGAAAGUUGGGGGAUUAUGUUUAGCAAUGCAAGUGCAGUGUACUCCCUGACAUUUGAAGAUGUGGCUACAGCUAGUACUGAUUCACCGGCUUUGCACGGGAUGUUUUGUGUGGCAAAUUCAAGUGCACCCCAUAGUGCAUUGAAGCAAAGUUUGGAUUGGGCAUGUGGCCCUGGUUCCGCAAACUGCAGCGCAAUUCAACCUGGGCAGCCGUGCUACAAACCAGAUGACAUUGUAGCUGUUGCUUCGUAUGCUUUCAAUGAUUAUUAUCAUAGAACACAAGCAAGUGGAGGAACAUGCAACUUUAAUAGCACAGCAACGAUAUCAUCUACGGAUCCAAGCCAUGGUUCAUGUAAAUUCGCAGGAAGCACCGGUGCCAAUGGCAGUGGUAUGGCUUCUGGACCUGCGAGCCAAGAUAGUUCUGCUUCACAAUCUCAAUCUUUCUGGUUGACUUGGCUAAUCGCCAUGCUGCUGCCCGUUCUACUUCUCAUGUAA
This 1494-nucleotide ribosomal RNA is filed under the name Triticum aestivum (bread wheat). RNAcentral describes it as "partial small subunit ribosomal RNA". The record is from RNAcentral. Lineage: Eukaryota; Viridiplantae; Streptophyta; Magnoliopsida; Poales; Poaceae.